GUGAGUGCGGGUCGAUCCACGCUCGUCUCGCUCCCGAGAAAGAUAAAGCAGAGAGAGAGAGAGAGAGAGAGAGCGCAAGCGUGAUCCCGAAGCGACGGGGAACUCGACGGGGCGCGGCGGCGGCGGCGGACGCAGAUCGGCGAUGGCCGCAGCAUCCAAGGGCGCGGGCGCGGCCUCGCCCUCCUCCUCCCUCGCCGGGGGUGGCGCCUUCAACCCGCACGACCUCGCCCGUGAUCCGCCGCCGCUCCGCCUUUCGCGUGACCAGCUGAAGUACUGCUCCGAAGCCCUCGCCUUCUUCAGGAAGGAGCUCCGAAAUCGCUCGAAGAUCGCCCAGGAAUUCGACAAGCUUCAGGCCAUGAGGCUAACAAGGGAUGAGACUAUAAGAAGGUGUACUGUUGCUCUUGAAAAUGCCAACUUGGACAAAAACCGCUAUAUAGACGUCUUGCCGUUUGACAAUGCCCGGGUAAUACUUAAUUCAACAAAAGACAACAGAUCUGUGGGGGAUGGCUACAUCAAUGCAAGCUUUGUUACGAGUGGUUCCACUGGGAAGGUUUCACAGUUUAUUGCAGCCCAGGGUCCACUUCCUGAGACAUUUGAAGAUUUCUGGGAGAUGAUCAUCCAAUAUCACUGCCCUGCGAUUGUUAUGCUUACUCUCUUUGACAAUCCAAAGAUGAUGGGAAAAUGUGCCGAUUAUAUCCAAGUAGAGAAUGGGUUAAGAGAAUUUGGAACAGUAAAUGUUCUGGCCAAGACUACUAAAGUGACUUCCUCUUCAUUAGUGCUCCGUUGUUUGGAGGUUCAACGCAAGGAGUCAGGAGAGCCUGCACUGCCUGUUCUCCAUAUCCAGUACCCUGAAUGGCCUGAUCAUGGAACUCCUGAGUAUACAGUAACUGUACGAGAAAUCUUUAAAAUGUUAUAUCACGUCCCCCCAGAUCUCGGUCCUAUAGUUGUUCACUGCAGUGCAGGUAUUGGAAGAACUGGUACAUACUGUACCAUUCACAAUACUAUCCAACGGAUUCUCCUUGGUGACAUGUCUUCUUUAGAUCUUGUGAAAACUGUUGCUGAUUUUAGAUCUCAGCGCAGUGGAAUGGUCCAGACAAUGGAUCAAUACUUCUUUUGCUAUGCGGCGAUUGCUGAUGAAUUGGAAGACCUGGUGUUGAAGUCCAAUCAGUAGGAAGAUGUUCUCGAAAGGGCCAAAUGUUUCGUUAUUAAAGAAGAAAUCUUAAAGCAGGCAAGUCAGAAGUCGAUUGUUGAUUCAGUCUUGGAUUAUGAUAUCCUCGAGCUGUGAAAAUGUUGUGCCCACAUGAUGGUAAUAUACAUUAAUAUUGAGGAGGCAGCUACUUUUUCCUAGUCUCACUGAUAAAUGAGGUUCGCUCCUUCGUGACGGAUUUCGCUGCUCACUUUACUGCAGAAUUUAAAUCAAUUCUUUGUAGCAGAUACCUCGUUGUUAUCAAGAAUUACCAAAAUAUCACCACCUAAUUAUAACUUGACAGCACUACGCCGAAGCAUCCUGACAAGUAUUAAAUAUUCUCAUGGUAUUAUUAUCUUACGAGAUAAGCAUUGUUAGUAUCUCCUAGGGUUCUGCUUUUACUUAAUCAACAUUAUCUUUCUGAAUUCUGGUUUACUAAUCUAUGCUACAGUUAUUUCUUGCCUUGCAUAUCAUCCGAUGUCGACGAAUGCGCUAACGUGUUUUCUUUUUUUGAAGGAAGAGAGCAUUACCUCAAGGUUAAAAAAAGAAAAAAGAAAAAAGGGCCUAUGUAAAGGUUAUCGUAAGCAUGAGAAUAUCCAAACAUCAGCAGCUAUAUUUGACACAAGUGGAGAUAAGCCUGUUGGGUUUCUGCUUCUGGUGCUUGGUACCUGGGGGAUGAAACUUUGAGAGGGCUUCUUUUCCUCUAGACCCAACUCCGUGACCGUCCCGACCUGACCUGCUCAGCUUCAGCUUUAACGGGUCGUGCUGUGCCGGGUCGUGCCGUGCCGGAUCUGAAAAUCUGGGCUGAGCUCGGGCUUUAGCUUUUCUCGAUUGAUCCGCGUUUGAAAUGAGUGUUUUUUUUUUUUUUUUCAAUUUGACUCAGAUCCGGUCCUAUCCGGUCAAUAUCUAACCCCUCGUGGAACUUGCUGUGCAUUUACCUCGCCACCUGUCCUCCGCGUGUUGCUCUAAUUGAUAGACUUAGAUGAAGGGUGCAUUAAUAAAUUGUUCUAUAAAAGUUAUAUUUAAA
RNA transcript from Ananas comosus (pineapple), 2213 nucleotides. It is a transcript of the gene named protein-tyrosine-phosphatase PTP1, with no coding region annotated. Lineage: Eukaryota; Viridiplantae; Streptophyta; Magnoliopsida; Poales; Bromeliaceae. The transcript is spliced from 10 exons. The record is from RefSeq and is a predicted model, not a curated record.